GCCUUGUCCUCCCCAAGUAGCAAAGACGGACAGGUAAACAGAUUUCGGCACAGUGUGAUGACUGCAACUGAAAGAAGCAUUAUGAGGUUACUUGUAAAUAGGUGACAUUAAGGGCAGCGGGCGCUGGAGGGUGCAGGAAAGGCUUCCUGGGGUUAGGCGCGGCGAAACGGCAAUCGGAAAGACCCAGAGACAUUUGCUCGAGAGCAUUUCCGGUAGAAAGAACGCGCGGUGCCCCUCAUCUGGCUGGCGCCAUUGGAGGUAAACCGAACAGGUAAACUGAACAGUAAGGGCUUGAGAUGGGCUAAACUCUCUGCCCCUGGGGCCACUGGGCUCCCCUGUAGGACUUUAAGGGGUGGGCGGUUUCAGAUGUUUUUAUUUUGGUUUUAUAUUUAUAACUUGCUACAAUAUCUGAAUUUUAAAGAGGUAGAGGGGUGGGUGUUCAGGCUAGCGUAGGAGUGCCUGCUUGGCACUGAUUUCCUGCUUCCUGCUCAUGUAGGUACUAGGAGGCAGUGGUCGUGACUCAGAUGCCUGGGUGUCUGCCACCCACAUAGGAGACCUGGGUUAGUGCUCUUGUGGGCAUCUGGGGAAUGCUCCAGCAGAUGGGAGCUCUGUCAGUCUGUAUUUCUGUUUGCCCUAAAAAUAAAUAAAUAAAUAAAUGUGAUCAGUUACUGGGUCUGUUCUAGUAGCAACAAUUGUGGCUCAUCUUUUGUGUAUUUUUUUAGAGCCUACAAAUAAACAUUUUAUAAGGAUGGUCUAUCAAGAGAUAUUCUACAAGACGGGCAAUGACCUACAGGCUUCUAUUUAUAAAGAAUAGAUUGGAAGGCAGCAAGACAGAAGGCAGAGAAAGGCAGGAAUGUAAGUCCCUAAGGGCCUGGUCUAAGAAUUGUAUCUCCAACAUAUAGCAUAGUGCCUGAUACAUGUUUUAGGGAUGAAUGAAUUAAAUGAGAACACCACAAAAAUACCUUGAAGUGAUGGUAAUGGAGAGAAAGAAACCAAUCUAUACCUAAGUCAGAAUCAAUAAAAUUUAAUAACUGUGCUGGUUAAUUCUGUAUAACAACUAGGCUAAGCAGUGGUACACAUGUUCCCCAGUUUUUGGUCCAACAGUCCAGUUGUGGUUGUGAAUAUAUUUAAAUAUGAUUGACAUUUGAAUCCAUAGAUUUGAGUAAAGCAGAUUAACUUCCAUAAUGUGGAUGGGCCUCAUCCAGCCAGGCCAAAUUAAGACAAGCCUUUCAGGAAGAAGGAAUUCUGCCUCAACUGCGCUAUCAAAUCUUCCUGGGAUCUACAGCUACUUGCCUACCAUGCAGAUUCUGGACCUGGCAAGUUCCCCAGUUGUGCUUUUAGGAUUUGGAACUUGAAACUCCUAGAGCAUGGGAGUUAGUGGGUGAUGAUGGCAUUCUGAAGGGAGGGCCACAAACUACUGCUGAAGUGAUUUUCAAAGAUACUUUACUUCCUCCUGCCUUCUGUGAGGUCUAUUUUUCCAGUUUUUCUUUAAAUAUCUGGAGGUACCCUAGGAUCUUCUCAGUACAUACAUCCUAACACGAUGUGAUUACCGUCAAGUAUUGAGAAGGUAAUGCUGUGCUGCACGGAAGUCUGUGGUUGGCACCUCAUAGGCACUUGUACUUACUAUUGAAUGGAUACAUUUCUGUGCAGAGCUGGGCUUCCCCACCACCACCCCUCCAAGAAAAACCUGCCUAGCAGGUCAUUGUUUGUCUUCAUGAAAGAUAGUCCCAAAACAUUAGCUGGAUUCUGGGUCUUAAAGAGGCAAGUUUAAAAAAAAAAAAAAUUAUUAAUAGAGCCACAGCAUAGUAGCAGUGAUGUGAACUAGGAGAUAGUAAAUUAGUGGCUAAGUAGAUGCCAGAUCCAAUCAACUACCCCAAAGCAGAGUCUCAGGAAAGCAGGGUUAUACAUCUCUGUUUCUGAAGUGAGAUGUUGUUAUUUGUAUUGACUUGGCUGAAGAUGCUUUAAGACAACGUAUCUUUAAAAAAAACAGUAAUAGAAAGAUGGUGAAAUCCAGGCAAGGUAAAGCCAAAACAACAAAGUUUUGACAGUUUCCAGUUAAAAAGGUAAGCUAACCUGUAGACUUUUAGCAGAUAUUUAGAAAUAAAGACAUUCUGUUGAUGUGAUACUAGGCAUUAGCAUUCACUUUUUUUUUUUUUUUAAGGUUUAUUUAUUUGAAAUGCAGAGUUAGAUGGAGAGAGAUUUCAUCCCCUGGUUCACUCCCCAAAUGGCUACAACAGCUAGGGCUGGACCAGGCUGAAGCUAGGAGCCUAGGGGAGUUUCUUUUGGGUCUCCCCAGUGGGUAUAGGGGCCCAAGCACUUGGGCCAUUUUCCAGUGCUUUCCCAGGUGCAAUAGCAGGGAGCUGGAUCGGAAGAAGAGUGGCUGGGACUCGAACUGGCACCCAUGUGGGAUGCCAGUGCUGCAGGCCACAGUUGUAACCUGCUACACCAUAGUGCCGGCCCACAACAUUCACUUUCAGCAGACACCUUUGUUCUACUCUUACCAAGCAGGCAUCUGAUUAUGAUUUACUUUCCUAAGGAAAAAUCUGGCUUAAAAAUUAGUGUGAACCACUUGCCAUAAGACCAUCAGUUCUGAUGCAAUGAACUAGUUUUCUGGACUUACCUAAACUUUGAAAUGUAGCUUCAUUCAUGUAUUUUUUUUUUUAAGAUUCAUUUAUUUAUUUGAAAGAUAGAAAUAGAGAAGGUGAGAGAGUGAGCGAUAUCUUCCAUCUAUUGGUUGACUCCCCAAAUGACCGCAAUGGCUGGGGCUGUGCCAGGCUGAAGCCAGGUGCAAGGAGCUACUUCCGGGUCUCGUGGGUGUAGGGGCCCAAGCACAUGGGCUAUCUCCCACUGCUUUCCCAGGCACAUUAGCAGGGAGCUGGACUGGAAGUGGAGCAGCUGAGACCCGAACCUAUGUAUACAACAUUAAGUAGGUUUUCUUUUUUAAGAUUUAUUUAUUCGAGAGGCAGAGUUACAGACAAGAGAGGGAGAAGCAGAGACACAGAUCUUCAAUCUGCUAGUUCACUUGGCUCACUCCCCAAGCCGCACUGGUCAGAGCUGGGCUGAUCAGAAGCCUGGAGCUUCUUCCCAUUCUCCCACAUGGGUGCAGGGGCCCAAGCACUUGGGCGGUUGUCUACUGCUUCCCAGGCCAUUAGCCGAGAAGUAGCUGGGAUGUCCAUAUGGGAUGCCAGUGCUGCAGGCAGAGGCUUAACCUAUUAUGCCCCAGUGCCAGCCCCUAAAUAGCUGUUCAAAGCAGAAAUUGAUCUCAUUCAUACUGCUGCUUUCAAAUGAGGAAGGGAAUCAAGUGUUCAGAACUGGAACUGUGUGUUAAGGACUUCAUUUAGUCCUUAAAAUAUGUGAGUUACAGAUUUUUAAGAAGAAUUGAUGAAGAAAAAGCUAAUUGAAUGACUUUUUUCCAUUUUAAACCAAAACAAAGGAAACCUCAAGAAUCUUGCAAGAUCCUAAAUGACAUCAUGUUUCCAACUCUAUACAUUUUUUUCAUACUUACUUUUAUAGGGUAACAUAAAAUCUUGAAGUGCUUUUUCAAUCCUGUCUGGCAAAUGGAGAAAACAUGCCUGUUUUAGGGAAUGCCUAAAAUGUGCCUGGUUACUAAACACUCAGAAACCCAGACAGGCCAUACUAUCCUCAGAACCAUAACCAGUCUCUUGACGUCAGACUACCCAUUGUUAGGCCAGCAUCCAAUACAUUAGCCACUUGCUGUCUUGGAGAAAGGGAAUACUUUGUAAGGGGAAUUAUAAAAUUUCUAACUGGUUUCUCAGCCACCCUUUUAUUCUGAGGCCACUUCAGAAAAAUGGCAUUAGAUGUUUAUUUUGGUGCAAAAGUUUUAAAUCUAGGCAUAAAGACUCUUCAUAAGGCUCAUGGAAAAUAAAUGGAAAAAAAAAAGACAAAUUUGGUUCCGGUGCUGUGGCUUACUUGGCUAAUCCUCCUCCUGCGGCACCAGCACCUGGGUUCUAGUCCCGGUUGGGGCACCAGAUUCUGUCCCAAUUGCUCCUCUUCCAGUCCAGCUCUCUGCUGUGGCCUGGGAAGGCAGUGGAGGAUGGCCCAAGUGCUUGGGCCCUGCACUCACAUGGGAGACCAGGAGGAAGCACCUGGCUCCUGGCUUCAGAUUGGCACAGCACGCCGGCAGUAGCAGUCAUUUGGGGGGUGAACCAACGGAAGGAAGAACUUUCUAACUCUGCCUGUCAAAAAAAAAAAAAAAAUUACAAAUUUGGUCAUUUACUGUCCUGCUUGAAUCUUCUCUCCCCAUCAAGACUUGUCUUUCAGCAAAUAUUCCAAGUAUCCCUGCUUCAGUAAUUGUUAUGAGCACUCAAAGCCAUUCUUCAUGGCCCCUUUCCUAAAAAUAAUCGCAUCUGACAGCACUGCUAGAUUAUAAGCUUGAGGGCAGUAUUGCUUUUGCUUCCUUCUUCCAUUCAGAGCCUGGCUUGAUGCCUAACACUGUAAAGUAGUGCUAUUUUUUUAAAAUGCUAUUUUGCUGUCAUUAGGAAGGCUACCCAUAGGACUAGCUAUCUUUAACAAAUAGUCAAACAUCAAACACAAUAAAUAUUAAAGCUUAUUACUUGGUAGCCACUAAAAGCUCCAGUUCAUUUGGUUCUUCCAGUACUCUAGGAAGUUCUUAACUUGGCUAGUCCUUCAGUUGAGCCUGGUACCACUGCUCACCAGGCUUCUUAAGCCAUUCAAUACUCACUCCUCAAUUUCCUCACCACCCAUUUCUUAACAUACUCUUAACAGUCCUCUUCAGGAUCACUUACCAGUCGCCAUUUCUUUAAAUGCAUCCAACUGCCCAUCUGUCUGGGGGGGGGGGGGGGACCUGUCAUCUGCCAUGUGACAGUAUCCUGACCCUGCACUUCACACCCUGCCUCUUGGCUGCAGACAUUGCCCAACCCUGUCUAGUUCUCAUCUUACAAACCCUGCUACAGAGCACUACCUGUUUUAACACUGGCAUUCUGGUAAGUAACUUACAUGUUGCUUUACAGCUUUACUGUUUCAUUUGAUCAGCUAUUUUAACAAAUUAAGAUUCAGAAACUGCUUUGUCUAUUGCCUUUUGACUCUGAACUUUGUGCUACUUUCAUUACCCAUUCUCCCUUGAUAACUAUUCAUCUCAAAUGCAUUUAUUUCUAAGACUGCUGGGAGACUCUUAAACCUGUGUAUCACAUUUCUUUGGAACCUAAGGAAAAGUUAACAAGUAUCAUUACAGAACUAGGGUGUGAACAAAGUGCUAUUUUAUUGUUAAAUGAGCUUGUUAGUCCAUACGCUAAGUAUUAAAUUCUCAUUUUAAGUCACUAUAAUCUGGUUCUUGCCAUUUUCCGUGUACUUUUCAAAACCAACCACUAUUUUUUUUUUUUUUUUUUUUGACAGGCAGAGUGGACAGUGAGAGAGAGAGACAGAGAGAAAGGUCUUCCUUUGCCGUUGGUUCACCCUCCAAUGGCCGGCGCGCUGUGACCGGUGCACCGCACUGAUCCGAUGGCAGGAGCCAGGAGCCAGGUGCUUUUCCUGGUCUCCCAUGGGGUGCAGGGCCCAAGCACCUGGGCCAUCCUCCACUGCACUCCCUGGCCACAGCAGAGAGCUGGCCUGGAAGAGGGGUAACCGGGACAGAAUCCGGCAUCCCGCCCGGGACUAGAACCCGGUGUGCCGGCGCCGCUAGGCAGAGGAUUAGCCGAGUGAGCCGCGGCGCCGGCCCCGACCACUAUUUUUUAUUUUAUUCAAGCUGGCCUCUUAAGUGUGUGUGUUUUUAAGAUUUGAAAAGAGCAACAGAUCCUUCCACUGGUUCACUCCCUUGUGGCCACAGCAGCCACGCUGUGCCAGACUGAAGUCAGGAGCCUGGAACUCAAUGUAGGUCUCCCUAGAAGGUAGUAGGGUGCAGCUACUUUGGCCACCUUCAGCUGUUUUCCCAGGCACGUUAGCAGGGAGCUGGAUUGGAAGUGGAGCAACUAUACUCAAACUGGCUCUGUGACAUGGGAUGCCACACCCUAAGUGGUUGCCCCUCCUCAAGUAUUGUAUUUCACAGCUGCUCACAGUAGUUCAAAAAGAAUGUGUUCAAUUCUAAAAGCAUCACGUUGCGUAACGGUUACUUAGAGGCCCAGAGAGACAUUUUUCUAGAUCUACUUCCUUAUCUAAUAAAAGUACACUUAAAGUUGGAAUUUCCUUUAGUUUUUUUUUCCUUCUAGUUUUAAAAUAGUUUAAAAUCCAAUUAGUAAGCCUAGUUUGUAAUUUUCUAUAUACCUUACAUGUUACAAGAACAUUCUGUUAGCUGAACUGAUUUACGAACUUGAGCAAACUUUGUGUAACAUAACCAUAUAAGACUGCCAAAGCACUAGGAUAUACUAUGUUACAGAGAUGGCUGAAUUCAAGUCUCCCAGAAUAGUUGCAUGGUCACAGCCCUAAACCUCAGCUUAUCUGUUUUCCUUAAUCUGCAGCUCCUUCUGCAUUCCUUUAUAGGUUUGUCCUGAAGAUCACCAUCAACAGGAAAAGUAGUUUGAAAAAAACUGUACUUGUAAACAAAAACACUGUACAAAUUUAAGUUGUUAUAAAUUAUAUUGUUUCUUAUGGCUGAUAAAAUAUCAUCAAAGAAAAGUGCUUCCAUAAAAGUUUUAUUUAUCCCCACAACAACCCUGUGAGGUAGGGUGAUCAGGGCAUUUGAAGAUGAGAAAACUAAAUCUACAUUACUUGUUCACGGCUACACUGCAUAGUAAAUAAGUAAAAAUUAAAUUGAGAUUUUUUUUAAAUGUCCGUGACUUUAUAUUGAUUCUUGUGGAAACAGGCAGAGAAUAUUAACUCCCCCUACCUUAAUGCCAAAAGGACGCUGCCUUGAAAAAUCCCAUUUCAAAAGAUGAAAGUAGUAUUUCAUUGCUUAUUUCUACAAAGAUUUAUAAAAUAAAAAAAUAGUGAAAUAUUUUACAGUUAAUAUAUAUAAUGUUCUCAUUCAGGGACAUGUCCUUUAGCUGUGUUUAAGAUCAACUAUUCCAAGUCCUAGAAAUGCAAACUCUUUAAAAAAAAAAAAGUAUGAAAAACAAAAAUGGUAAUGAGCAGUGGCCUCAAUCUUCUUUAUUAUUCCUCCAUGUAUCUUCAAUAAGUUUUGUGAAAUCUGGUCCCAGUUUAAAUUAAAAAACUCUCUACCAUAAAGAGAAGUCUAGUAAGCUUUUAUUUUGUUGCCUACUUUUAAACCACUGUCAUGUUAUUUGAACAGGGCUUUUGCAAACCUGGCUAUUAGAACACUGGAAAACAAUACAGAACUCUCCGGCUCCAUUUUAGACAUCAUUUCCCAGGGGUAAGCUUCAGGAAUCUUGUUUUAAAAGCUCCUUUGAGUAAUCCUAAUCAAGUCAGGUUUGGGAACAGAUCUUAAAAUACUAACAUCAAACCCAUCAACUAGUAUAAACUUGCUCUCUUAUCUCUUUUUUAAAAAAGAUCUCAAAACAUGUUAUACCCCCAGACCUCUUGCCUCUGGGCAAUUUAAGAUACAGAGAAACAUUUUAUAAAAAUGUAUCCCUGUUAGUGAAACUUGGAUUUCAAUAAUAAUUUAAUUAGCAUUUAAAUAUAAGACACUGAGUUUUGUGGUUCUUUCUUUAAAUGUAUUACACAAGUUCCUAGCAGGCUUUUAAAUCAGGGGAAGACAUGUAAGGUAAUGACAUAAGCAUAUCAGCACUGAAAAAAUAUUAUACUCAUAUAUAGCUCAUGAGAGGAAUAAGAAAGUGAAUGAAUGACAACCUAAGGCCUUUUGGCCCAUACAUUUUUGUUCCCAGUCCACUCUUCCCCUAUAAGGGGAAAUAAAAUAAACAUUCUUUCCUAGUUGCUUGGCAUAGUUAUUCGGUGGGUAACUAUUAUCUAAGUUAAUUUAGAUACACAAGAUUAAAAGUAUAACAAAUAAAUACCUAGGAAGACAACUUAGAAGUCAGAUCAGGAAACCUUAACUAGCUAAUGAUGUAUUAUAUAACACCAUCAUAUUAGUACAAUUAAAUAAAGGCUUCAGUGUCCUUUACAUUUCAGCUUUAUGUGAUUGACACAGACGUAGAAGAGAUCUGGUCCUUAUGAAGAAUUCUGUGCUCGCUGGAAAGAUUUGUAGAAAUAAUGAAAUGCUUUCUUCAUUGAUGAGAUGAAGUCUAUUUUUCAGGCAAGUUGACUGAACAAAACACUGAGAAAUGAACUUCUUUAGGAGGCUGAAUGAAAGUGAAGUGAUAUCUAGCUGAAAAAGGCAUUGGCCAAAUAAUUUCUUAAGAAAGCCACUCUGUUAACCCUCAGAAAACAAAAACAAAAUUAAAAAAAAAAAAAAACACCAGAGAAAUAUAAAAAAACAAUGUACACAUCCAUUUCACUGACAGUUACAAGAAAAUAGCCAUUUAUAGAAGUUACACAAUGCUUUCAACAAAUCCCAAACAAAUUUUUGGGAAACAGAUAAAGCCAUCAGGUAAAUAAAUAUACAUACUAGCUAAUAUAAAACAAUUUAUGGUUAUGAAUUGUCACCAAUUCCCCUCAUAGGACCCAAGGAGAAAUAUGGUGAUAUAAAUCUGAUUAGGGCUACAUAUAUUACAUGAAAUUCAAAAGCAACUUUAUAAAACAUCUUCUCUAAUAAUGAUACAAAUAUUUAAAAGAAUGCUUUAAAAGUCAGACAUUUUAUCACUGGAAAUAGCACAAUUUUAAUAUGUACUUCAGAGCUGUUAUGUGUAUGCAGGUCACAUGAGGUAUCCAUCUCUCCUGCAUUUACCAUAGUCAGUUUUUUGAGUUUGUGUUUCCUGUAUGAGCUGAAGGGACUGGGCAUAUCUCAAUUCAAAAAAUACACACCUCCAGUCAACUAAAUGGAAGUGUUUAACAUCUACCACCACACAAAGAAGGGAUAAUAGGAAGAUAAAACAUUAAAGUAGAAGGAAGCUGGCUAAAUUGUCUCUUUAUUAAUUUAUUUUAACUUUUGUAUUAACAAAUUUAAAAUCCAAAUAAAGUAAUGAAAAUAUAUAUAUAUUAAUUUGCUCUCAAUAAAUUUUUUCAGGCCAUAUAAAAUUCCCUUAAUUUCUUUAUGGAAACUUGUUAUAUGCUUGAUUCAUUUUUUCGGUUGACUUAAAGGAACUCUAGCACGGGACUGAAAACAACCUUACCAUAAUAGAAGAUGAUUAAAUUUUUUUUAAGUUAUUACAUAAAACUGUGCCCACAGGCACAAUGGUACAGGUACUUUUAAUUCCCUUCAAGAUAUGGGAAAGCCCUUUGAGACUAUAUUUACUUAAUAAGGAAAACUUUCAGCAAUUAGGAUGCAUGCUGAAGGUUCAAAUCUUGUAUAGGUUUUGCUGCUUGAGCAUAAAAAUGAAGGGAGCAAGGAGAAAUGUAACUAGGUUCACAAUUUUGAGCAAGAGCAUAUGUAAAGGUAACGUAUGUACAUUUUAUUUCAAGAAAGACAGAAGACAAACAGCAUAAAGAUGCCCAGAUGCCCUAAAGAUAAAUACAUUUCAAAGAUUCUCAUUAAAAUGAAUCCGUAGUACUUUUUCCUGCAAGCAAAAUACCUUUCUUUAAAUUAAAAAAAAAAAAAAAAUCAGUAUUCUGAAUUGCAAAUGCUUUUGCUUUUUUU
Oryctolagus cuniculus (rabbit) is the source of this 9562-nucleotide non-coding RNA. The record is from RefSeq and is a predicted model, not a curated record. NCBI's taxonomy places the organism in Eukaryota, Metazoa, Chordata, Mammalia, Lagomorpha, Leporidae.